Molecule: ribosomal RNA, 501 nt
Filed under: uncultured bacterium
Lineage: Bacteria
Description: partial 16S ribosomal RNA
Rfam family: Bacterial small subunit ribosomal RNA
Source: RNAcentral
AUUGAACGCUGGCGGCCGGCUUAACACAUGCAAGUCGAGCGGGGGAGGUUGCUUCGGUGACUGACCUAGCGGCGGACGGGUGAGUAAUGCUUAGGAAUCUGCCUAUUAGUGGGGGACCACAUUCCGAAAGGAAUGCUAAUACCGCAUACGUCCUACGGGGGAACGCAGGGGAUCUUCGGACCUUGCGCUAAUCGAUGAGCCUAAGUCGGAUUAGCUAGUUGGUGGGGUAAAGGACUACCAAGGCGACGAUCUGUAGCGGGUCUGAGAGGAUGAUCCGCCACACUGGGACUGAGACACGGCCCAGACUCCUACGGGAGGCAGCAGUGGGGAAUAUUGGACAAUGGGGGGAACCCUGAUCCAGCCAUGCCGCGUGUGUGAAGAAGGCCUUUUGGUUGUAAAGCACUUUAAGCGAGGAGGAGGCUCCUUUAGUUAAUACCUAAAGAGAGUGGACGUUACUCGCAGAAUAAGCACCGGCUAACUCUGUGCCAGCCGCCGCCGUAA